UUCCACAAAGAUCUGAAGACAUCAUAUUACAGUGAUACACGCCUACUUAUGUUUAUCACAGCACAAUUCACAAUAGAAUUUCCUUAAAUGUUGUACUGUGUCACAGUAAAACAACAGCAGCAACUAGAUAGGCAGCCAAGACUUUGGCAUGUCCUCUGUGGCCACUGAAGACUCUUCUACCACCAUAUGUAAAAGAUGAGCAAUUCCAUCUAAGACCCUUGGAACCACCAGCCCCCAGCCAACCUGCCAGCUGACUGCAGGCACAUGAAUGACCUCAGGAAAGAGAAAGAAUCACUCAGCAGAGCCCAGCCUGAAUUA
Molecule: long non-coding RNA, 318 nt
Organism: Heterocephalus glaber (naked mole-rat)
Lineage: Eukaryota; Metazoa; Chordata; Mammalia; Rodentia; Bathyergidae
Source: RefSeq, a predicted model, not a curated record